Molecule: small RNA, 326 nt
Filed under: Caulobacter vibrioides NA1000
Lineage: Bacteria; Pseudomonadati; Pseudomonadota; Alphaproteobacteria; Caulobacterales; Caulobacteraceae
Description: small non-coding RNA
Source: RNAcentral
AAACGGACGGCAAUCGUGCCCCGACGUUAGCGGGGCGCGGUUCAGCGAUAGGGAUCUUCGGUGUUCAGAUAGCCCGCCACAUAGUCGGCCACGCCGUCUUCCAGCGCGGUCAUCGGCGCGUUGUAGCCGGCCGCGCGCAGGCGGCUCAUGUCGGCCUGGGUGUAGUACUGAUACUUGCCGCGCAGCACCUCGGGCAUGUCGAUAUAGGUGAUGUCGGGCGCACGACCCGCGGCCUCGAACGUGGCCACCGCCAGAUCACGGAACGAACGCGCCUGGCCCGAGCCGAGGUUGAAGACGCCGUUCACGGCGGGGCUCUUGGCCAGCCA